CCUACGGGAGGCAGCAGUGGGGAAUUUUGGACAAUGGGCGCAAGCCUGAUCCAGCCAUUCCGCGUGCAGGAUGAAGGCCCUCGGGUUGUAAACUGCUUUUUCACGAGCUUCGGUACCGUAAGAAUAAGCACCGGCUAACUACGUGCCAGCAGCCGCGGUAAUACGUAGGGUGCAAGCGUUAAUCGGAAUUACUGGGCGUAAAGCGUGCGCAGGCGGUUAUGUAAGACAGGUGUGAAAUCCCCGGGCUUAACCUGGGAACUGCAUUUGUGACUGCAUAGCUAGAGUACGGUAGAGGGGGAUGGAAUUCCGCGUGUAGCAGUGAAAUGCGUAGAUAUGCGGAGGAACACCGAUGGCGAAGGCAAUCCCCUGGCCGUACUGACGCUCAUGCACGAAAGCGGGGGAGCAAACAGGAUUAGAUACCUUGUAGUC
This 429-nucleotide ribosomal RNA is filed under the name uncultured bacterium. Its description in RNAcentral is "partial 16S ribosomal RNA". It matches the Rfam family "Bacterial small subunit ribosomal RNA", at positions 338 to 795 of the family's 1533-position model. The record is from RNAcentral.